AAUGUAUAGCUAAUCUGCCCUAUGCAGGAGGACAACAGUUAGAAAUGACUGCUAAUACUCCAUACUCCUUCUUAACAUAAGUUAAGUUGGGAAAGUUUUUCGGCAUAGGAUGAGGCUAUAUUGUAUCAGCUAGUUGGUGAGGUAAUGGCUCACCAAGGCUAUGACGCAUAACUGGUCUGAGAGGAUGAUCAGUCACACUGGAACUGAGACACGGUCCAGACUCCUACGGGAGGCAGCAGUAGGGAAUAUUGCUCAAUGGGGGAAACCCUGAAGCAGCAACGCCGCGUGGAGGAUGACACUUUUCGGAGCGUAAACUCCUUUUGUUAGGGAAGAACCAUGACGGUACCUAACGAAUAAGCACCGGCUAACUCCGUGCCAGCAGCCGCGGUAAUACGGGGGGUGCAAGCGUUACUCGGAAUCACUGGGCGUAAAGGACGCGUAGGCGGAUUAUCAAGUCUCUUGUGAAAUCCUAUGGCUUAACCAUAGAACUGCUUGGGAAACUGAUAAUCUAGAGUGAGGGAGAGGCAGAUGGAAUUGGUGGUGUAGGGGUAAAAUCCGUAGAGAUCACCAGGAAUACCCAUUGCGAAGGCGAUCUGCUGGAACUCAACUGACGCUAAGGCGUGAAAGCGUGGGGAGCAAACAGGAUUAGAUACCCUGGUAGUCCACGCCCUAAACGAUGUAUACUAGUUGUUGCUAAGCUAGUCUUGGCAGUAAUGCACCUAACGGAUUAAGUAUACCGCCUGGGGAGUACGGUCGCAAGAUUAAAACUCAAAGGAAU
This 778-nucleotide ribosomal RNA is filed under the name uncultured bacterium. RNAcentral describes it as "bacterial SSU rRNA". It matches the Rfam family "Bacterial small subunit ribosomal RNA", at positions 112 to 910 of the family's 1533-position model. The record is from RNAcentral.